Molecule: ribosomal RNA, 403 nt
Filed under: uncultured bacterium
Lineage: Bacteria
Description: bacterial SSU rRNA
Rfam family: Bacterial small subunit ribosomal RNA
Source: RNAcentral
UAGGGAAUAUUAGCAAUGGGCGAAAGCCUGAACUAGCAACGCCGCGUGUGCGAAGAAGGCCUUCGGGUUGUAAAGCACUUUUUGAGAGGAUGAGGAAGGACGGUACUCUCAGAAUAAGUCUCGGCUAACUACGUGCCAGCAGCCGCGGUAACACGUAGGAGGCAAACGUUAUCCGGAUUUACUGGGCGUAAAGCGCGUGUAGGUGGUUUGGUAAGUAGGGCGUGAAAGCUCCUGGCUCAACUGGGAGAGGCCGUUCUAAACUGCCGAACUAGAGGAUGGUAGAGGGAGGUGGAAUUCCGGGUGUAGCGGUGGAAUGCGCAGAUAUCCGGAGGAACACCAAUGGCGAAAGCGGCCUCCUGGACCAUUCCUGACACUCAGACGCGAAAGCUAGGGUAGCAAACGG